GACGGAGGGUGCAAGCGUUGUUCGGAUUGACUGGGCGUAAAGGGCGUGUAGGCGGUCGGUCAAGUCUGGUGUGAAAGCCCGGGGCUCAGCUCCGGAAGUGCAUCGGAAACUAGCUGGCUGGAGCGCGAUAGAGGAGGGCGGAAUUCCUGGUGUAGCGGUGAAAUGCGCAGAUAUCAGGAGGAACGCCAAUGGCGAAGGCAGCUCGCUGGGACGGUACUGACGCUGAGACGCGAAAGCGUGGGGAGCAAACAGG
Molecule: ribosomal RNA, 253 nt
Filed under: uncultured bacterium
Lineage: Bacteria
Description: partial 16S ribosomal RNA
Rfam family: Bacterial small subunit ribosomal RNA
Source: RNAcentral